RNAcentral lists this ribosomal RNA (442 nucleotides) under uncultured bacterium. RNAcentral describes it as "partial 16S ribosomal RNA". It matches the Rfam family "Bacterial small subunit ribosomal RNA", at positions 338 to 795 of the family's 1533-position model. The record is from RNAcentral.
CCUACGGGUGGCAGCAGUGGGGCAUAUUGGGCAAUGGGCGCAAGCCUGACCCAGCACCGCCGCGUGAAGGACGAAGGCUUUCGGGUUGUAAACUUCUUUUAAGGGGGAAGAGCAGAAGACGGUACCCCUUGAAUAAGCCACGGCUAACUACGUGCAAGCAGCCGCGGUAAUACGUAGGUGGCAAGCGUUGUCCGGAUUUACUGGGUGUAAAGGGCGUGCAGCCGGAGCGACAAGUCAGAUGUGAAAGCCACGGGCUCAAACCGUGAACUGCAUUUGAAACUGUUUCCCUUGAGUGUCGGAGAGGUAAUCGGAAUUCCUUGUGUAGCGGUGAAAUGCGUAGAUAUAAGGAAGAACACCAGUGGCGAAGGCGGAUUACUGGACGAUAACUGACGGUGAGGCGCGAAAGCGUGGGGAGCAAACAGGAUUAGAUACCCGGGUAGUC